GUCGAGCUUCCCAUUCCAGUAGAAGAACUCCCAGAGUCGGCGAACGAAGUCGUCCAGGAGCCACAGCCUGUGGCUGAGGCCGUUCCCGGGCCAGAGGCCGUGCCUGAGGCUGCUGAGGAACCUGCCCAGGAGGUGGAACUGGCCGAGCCACUCGUAGCUCAAGUACCAACCGCCACAGUGGAUGCUGUCUUACCAGCACACAAGGAAAUCGAGGCCGAAGAGAGCAUAGAGCCGGCCGAGGUGGCUGUGGAUGACCAGGUGGAGAAUGUCGAGCCCAGGGAGAGUGCUUCAGUCGCGAUCCUGGAGGAGGGAGAAAAGUUGGCGGUGCCAGAGAUCGACAGUGGUGCACCGGAUUCCAUUUCUGCGACAGAUCCCAUGGUGGAGGACACACAGGGAGCAUGUCCUGCCAGUGAAGACAUUCACGAGCUUGUGGAAGAGGAGCAAAUCAAAUUCGAUGUGCCACAGCAAGUUUCCGAACGCGAGGUCGAGCUUCCCAUUCCAGUAGAAGAACUCCCAGAGUCGGCGAACGAAGUCGUCCAGGAGCCACAGCCUGUGGCUGAGGCCGUUCCCGGGCCAGAGGCCGUGCCUGAGGCUGCUGAGGAACCUGCCCAGGAGGUGGAACUGGCCGAGCCACUCGUAGCUCAAGUACCAACCGCCACAGUGGAUGCUGUCUUACCAGCACACUAGGAAAUCGAGGCCGAAGAGAGCAUAGAGCCGGCCGAGGUGGCUGUGGAUGACCAGGUGGAGAAUGUCGAGCCCAGGGAGAGUGCUUCAGUCGCGAUCCUGGAGGAGGGAGAAAAGUUGGCGGUGCCAGAGAUCGACAGUGGUGCACCGGAUUCCAUUUCUGCGACAGAUCCCAUGGUGGAGGACACACAGGGAGCAUGUCCUGCCAGUGAAGACAUUCACGAGCUUGUGGAAGAGGAGCAAAUCAAAUUCGAUGUGCCACAGCAAGUUUCCGAACGCGAGGUCGAGCUUCCCAUUCCAGUAGAAGAACUCGCAGAGUCGGCGAACGAAGUCGUCCAGGAGCCACAGCCUGUGGCUGAGGCCGUUCCCGGGCCAGAGGCCGUGCCUGAGGCUGCUGAAGAACCUGCCCAGGAGGUGGAACUGGCCGAGCCACUCGUAGCUCAAGUACCAACCGCCACAGUGGAUGCUGUCUUACCAGCACACAAGGAAAUCGAGGCCGAAGAGAGCAUAAAGCCGGCC
Molecule: long non-coding RNA, 1203 nt
Filed under: Selaginella moellendorffii
Lineage: Eukaryota; Viridiplantae; Streptophyta; Lycopodiopsida; Selaginellales; Selaginellaceae
Description: long non-coding RNA (SMOE_LNC002464)
Source: RNAcentral